GACGAACGCGGCGGCGUGCCUAAUACAUGCAAGUAGAACGCUGAAGGAGGAGCUUGCUUCUCUGGAUGAGUUGCGAACGGGUGAGUAACGCGUAGGUAACCUGCCUGGUAGCGGGGGAUAACUAUUGGAAACGAUAGCUAAUACCGCAUAAGAGUAGAUGUUGCAUGACAUUUGCUUAAAAGGUGCAAUUGCAUCACUACCAGAUGGACCUGCGUUGUAUUAGCUAGUUGGUGGGGUAACGGCUCACCAAGGCGACGAUACAUAGCCGACCUGAGAGGGUGAUCGGCCACACUGGGACUGAGACACGGCCCAGACUCCUACGGGAGGCAGCAGUAGGGAAUCUUCGGCAAUGGACGGAAGUCUGACCGAGCAACGCCGCGUGAGUGAAGAAGGUUUUCGGAUCGUAAAGCUCUGUUGUAAGAGAAGAACGAGUGUGAGAGUGGAAAGUUCACACUGUGACGGAUCUAACCA
RNAcentral lists this ribosomal RNA (471 nucleotides) under Streptococcus mitis. RNAcentral describes it as "bacterial SSU rRNA". It matches the Rfam family "Bacterial small subunit ribosomal RNA", at positions 28 to 485 of the family's 1533-position model. The record is from RNAcentral. Lineage: Bacteria; Bacillati; Bacillota; Bacilli; Lactobacillales; Streptococcaceae.